ACAACAACUAGCACCACGCCCGACCCCCGCGGCCCACUUCCGCUUCCGUUGCCGCGGCAGCCGCCGGCCGAGGCGUGCGGGGAAAGGCGGGGGCGGGGGCGAGCGUGGUGCCUCGCUCCUGCAGCAGCGACACCUGAAACAACCUGUAAGACCCUGAAUAUUGGCUAAUUGCUCCGGCUAGAAAGGGGUAACAGUGGGGACAAAGACCUAGUGCAGAAAAUGGAGGCAUGGAAUAAAGGUGCAGACAAGGGUGUGAAGAAAGCUUCAGUUUAUCCUCAGUGCUAUGAGCCUCAUCCAAUGCCCACAGAAGACGACGGAAGGACUCCCAUUGACUUCAGUGGACACUGGACCAAGCCCUAAGGUAUAAGCAUCAUGCUUUCAACCAUCAAAAUCUGCUGUGGGCUAAAGGAGUGAGAUUAUCGCAUGGACCUAAUAGGUCUUAAUGUUCAGAUUGCAAGCUAUGAUUUAAUCGCCUAUGCGAACCUGUGCCUUGAGUGGAGUUUGCCGUCAGACUUGCUGGACAGAAACGACGAUUUGGAGCUAUGUUAAGUUGGUCACAGCAGCUACAGAUCUACAUCCGCUGAUAUGCACAAGUACCUGCUCCAGAAAUACUAAGCGAAACAAAGAGAUGGGAACUGAAUUUAUUCCCUGUUUUGAACAGUGCUCAGUAGAUGGCGCUUGAGACACAUGUGGGGCCAGUCUAUUAGCUUCAUUCCCAUGCCGACUUGUUAUUCAGUUCUGUAAAAAGGCUUUUUGUCUUAAUGAAUGGGCCGAUUUGCCUUUUCCCUUUUGGGGAGCCGUACAGCAUAGUAAGUGUUUUCAAAGAUUAAUCUGCCCGCCAUACCGUGAUUUUAAAAUUCCAAUGUAUACUGCUAUGAAUGAAAAGUGAGUUUCAGCCCACAGUUACUUUCUUUCUCACCGGAGUUACUAACUUGUUGCAAUCUCUCUCUCUCUCCUCUCCCUCGCUCCAUUGCUCUGAAACUAACUAUCAAUUUUUUCUUGUGUGCCCGUAGGCUGUAAUCUGAAAUAAACAACAGUAUCAGAAGAUAUGGAUUAAAGCCUUUAUUUCAACAGUAAAUGCUAGAUAGUUUGAACGUCAAGAUCUGAGUCCCUUGAUUGCUCCCUCUCCUCGCCAAGGACAGUAGAUUCUUGCUCUUUGUGGUCUAUGUGCUUAUCCUUUGAAAGGCACUGGAAGCAAGAUCUAUCAUUCUGUUUCCAACGUGUAAAUUACAGAUGUCAGACCAUAAUUCAUUUCUGUGCUGAGUUUUGAAAACGUGAUGUAGGUAAAACUUAAAGGAAUUAAAGCAGGACUUUUAGAGGGGGAUUUUCAAAGGCACCGAUUCAGGGUGGGAUUUUUAAAAGCACCUGUGUGAUUUAGGAGCAUUGACCUGUGCUCUUAAAUCACCUAGACGCUGUUGAAAAUUCACCCUUCAAUUUGAAGAACAUGUUACACUUUGCCAGGAUAAGAAUUCUUUCAUAGAUCAGUGUCAGAAUGGCAAUUUUCCGUGGACUCGCUCGAGUUGAGUCAAGAGGCUAGGGGCUGCUUGGCUAGUUUCAGGAGUUAGCACACAAACCACGAAUGCAGGAUAAAAUACCAAGUAAAAGCCCUUUCAAAUGUGUUGCUUUUGAUGCUCAGUUGGCGUUUCAGAUUUGACUGGUUCAAGACGACUCAGGUUUUCGAAUUUCCCCAUUCCCUGGUACGAUGAGUUUCUAACCAAGACCAACUUCUCUUUUAUUGUCACAUGUGAUCACCCACAUAAAUCUGUAGUGAAAUACAUAAACAAUAACAAACCAUCAUCCCAAAUCAACCAUAUUUAUUGUUCACAAGUAAAAUGCAUUCUCAAAAAAGUCACUAGGCAAGCCAUUUAUACAUUUGGGGGUCAGAGAGAUUUAACUUUUACUAAUUCAGUCUAUCGUUCUCAAUCAGUAGACACCUUACAACAGGAGGAAGAGUGAAUAAUGGUUAGAAAACGUUCAAGGUAAUUUAAUAUCUAUAUUGUGAACAAUGACCUUUACAGAGUUAAAAUAAACUCAAUUAAGUCUAUUCUAUCAAUAAUAAACCAGUAAUUUAGAGAACUGCUCAAGGCAAGAAUAUGUGUUCCAGGUUAUCUCAAAGGAACCACAAUUUGAUUUGCUGAAGUGUGAAUAUAAAUCUAAUAGCUAAACAAAUGUAUGUGUUACAUGACAGCUGUGAGCUUCUAUAGCAAACACUUAGUGGCAAACUUGUAGUCUGGAUGUCAGAUGUUUCUGAAUAGUAGCCCAGGUUGUUUUCCGUACGAUCUACUGUGUUCUGUAAAACAGUACUCUGCAGUACAUAAAUCAGUAAUCUACAAUACUGUAAUAAAUUAUAUAUUCCAGGAUAUUAGAAAAGUUAUAUUUUUAAAAAACAACAGUAACAAAAUAAGAACAACAUAGCUGUUAUAGCACUUUUUACCAGUAA
Long non-coding RNA from Chelonia mydas (Green sea turtle), 2440 nucleotides. RefSeq lists it as uncharacterized. NCBI's taxonomy places the organism in Eukaryota, Metazoa, Chordata, Testudines, Cheloniidae. The transcript is spliced from 4 exons. The record is from RefSeq and is a predicted model, not a curated record.